AAAGCAAAGCCACCGCCCAAGUUAACUCUCCUGAAUAGGCUAAUCGAUUCCAAUUUUUAUUUUCUAAAACAAAUCAACUCUAAUUUCUAGAUUUACUUUUUAAUUUUUCAAUUAUACUGACCUCCUAUCCAUCCUGCUGUCAGUAAAGAUCCAUCCUAGAAGGAACCACAGCUGUAACUAGUAUACCACACUCCAUUUCUAGGAAUCUUCCUUUGCCAUUCACAAUCCUAUCCCAACGUGGAAAGAUUUAUCAAUUUGCAGGAAGCAACCAGGAAGGAGUUAGUGAGCUUCGCUGUGCUUUCUUUCAACCCCUCUUUCCCCUCUCCUUAGCCUAUAUUAACGAGAGCAUGGGCCUAUGUCUCAGUGUUCAAUUAGAAGAAUCUGAGAAAAGUUUUAGAUUUUAUCAGUUCAAAGUUUGUAGAGAGUUUGUAUAGAGCUUUUAACUUAAAAUUUCUGUGAAAUAUGUAAUUUUUCCACGGUUCAUAUUAGUGUUGAGGGUCUGUGUGAGAGUUUUUCUUUUAUUGAUGAUGGAUGUUAGCUGUGUGGGAGUUUUUCUUUUAUUGAUGGCAGAUUAAGAGUAUGAUCCAUUAUUCUUGAUGAUCAGUCAAGAAAUCUGAUUCAUAUUUGAUAAUGGAUCAUAAGGUAUGAAUCACGAUUUCUGAUGAUAGAUCGAAAGAUCUGAAUCAAAAUAUUGAUAAUUUUUUUUUUCACACGGUUAGCAUCCAGACAAAUUUCAAUUUACAUCUAAGAAUGAGUUUCAAUUACAAGGCUCUUUCGAUCAUGAUCCAAAGAAGAAAACAAAUCACACACAGUUAGCACCCAGAAGUAUUCUUUAUCACUAAAAAAUCUCUAUUUUAUGGGUGAGCUUCAAUUGAAGCUCUCUGGGUGAGAGACGAUGCAAAGCUGAAAUCUCUAAUCCCAACUAAUUAGCAACUUUGUGACAGAGUUGCAACUGCCCAAGCUCAGUAAAAACCCUUUUUUUUUUAAUCAGUUUUUCAACACUCCUAACAAGGGUGAAGAGCUGAUGGGUAGGAAUAUUAGCCCCUUUAAACCCUUUAUUAAAUAUAGAUAUCCUUUACAGAUCAUAUACCUAGAGGAUGAGAUCUAUGAAACCAUGGAUCUCCUUCCUGCCCAUAUAUUGUUAGAUUCCAGUAAGCUUAAGCAAGAACUGCAAGAUUUUUACCAGGAUUUACAGCCUGAAGAUAUGAGAAGCAUGCUGAAAGAUUCUAUGCUGAACAGCAAUCCUAAGUUGCUUCAGCAAAUUCGUUUCAACCAUUUGGCCGAGAAAUCUGGUAUGGAAGAGGGUUUUACUUAUUCUGUGCAUGAAAUUGCUGCUCUCAAAUCUCAAUUUUUUGAGUGGUUGGAGAAAUCGAUGGGCGAUUUGAAGAGGCCUUUGUUCAAGAAGGAGGUGCCAAUCGUUGGCGUGCGGUUUAUGGGAGGCGUUGGAAAAACAACUUUAGCAUUGGCUUUAUGGAGUGAUGUUCAAAUUAAAGGUUAUUUUCAGAACCUCCUUUUCAUUACUGUUUCAGAGUCUCCAAAUGGGAAAGGACUUCUAGAGACCAUGUGGGAUGGCAUUGUUGGAAGGAAGAGGUCUGAGUUUCAGAAUUUGGAAGAUGCACGUAUGCAACUGCAAAUUCAGCUUAUGAGGAAAUCUAAAUCAACUCCGCUGAUAUUAGAUAAUGUUGGGUCCAGAGCAAAUUUGGAGAAAUUACUAUUUCAUGUGACAGGAUAUAAAAAUCUUUUCACAACCAGAGACACAUCCAUUAUCCCCAGAAACCACUCUGCUCAAUACUAUCAAUUGCCUUUGCUGGUCCACGCAGAUGCUCUGUCUCUUUUCAUCUUCUGGGCUGCCGUACAGAUGCCAAUUCCAAGUAAUGGAUAUGCAAAUCCACUAAACAAGGUUCAAGCAGAAUAUUUUGCCAGGGAAAUGGGAUUUGCUGAAGGACAGGCCAUUUGAUGCUCAAGUAUCUUUAUUCACACAGGUGGGUUAAAAGAUGACAAAGAUGGAUUGCUACCAAACAACAGUUUUUUUCUGAAAUGCUAGCCAUAUACUUGACUAGAAAAGUAAUCAAUUAGGAGAUUCUAUCUAGUGCUAAAUCUACCUCUAUUUAACAUUCCCUCAAUUAUCAAAUUUUCUGUCUUGCAUGCUUGCGUUUGAAAUCUAACAUAACUUGUGGCAUCCUACCUUCAAUAUGAUGAGAACUCAAUGUAGACACCACCAAAAAAAUAAAAAAAUAAAAAUAAAAAUAAAAAAUAAAAAAUAAAUUAAAAAUUCACUGGCUGAUGCAGAAUGUUCUGAUUGGAUUCUAUUUCUGGAUUAUCCAUACAGGUCCCGUGGACAAAAGCAAGUGGUACUAGAAUAAUUUUUCAAAGAGGACCACAAUAAAAGAUCUAGAUGUCUCAUCUCCACCCCCUCAACUAGGGACUGUGCAUGGACUGAUUGCACCACAAGUUCAAACACAGAGAAAAAGGACUAUAGAACAUAGAGGAGCUAUUUUUGGAUGGUCUUUCUGUACGUCUGAUUUUGGCAUAUAGGGGAUCUUAUCUUUAUUUUGGUGGGGCUAUGGAGCGAUGAGUUCUGAUAUUGUUUAAAGGAAACAAUUGGCACGUUGUUUGUUAUUUGAAAAAUUCAAAACAUCAAAUCACGGUCUCUAUGAGGACUGGUGAUUGAACAAGUGACUGUUGAAGCCCACUUUGGGGCCAAACAAAAUUUUAAAAUGGGGGUAAAAAUUUUGAUUACAGAGAGCUCCUCAUUGGUGAUUGUAAUCCACUUUGGGGCAGACAAAAUUAUAAAAAAUAGUUAAAUUCUACAAAGCA
RNA transcript from Cryptomeria japonica (Japanese cedar), 2817 nucleotides. RefSeq lists it as uncharacterized. The record is from RefSeq and is a predicted model, not a curated record. Lineage: Eukaryota; Viridiplantae; Streptophyta; Pinopsida; Cupressales; Cupressaceae. The transcript has 4 exons.